This 69-nucleotide transfer RNA is filed under the name Olisthops cyanomelas (herring cale). RNAcentral's name for it is "tRNA-Arg". It matches the Rfam family "tRNA". From Rfam's summary of the family: Transfer RNA (tRNA) molecules are approximately 80 nucleotides in length. Lineage: Eukaryota; Metazoa; Chordata; Actinopteri; Labriformes; Odacidae. The record is from RNAcentral.
AGACGGUUAGUUUAAGAAAAAUAUUUGAUUUCGACUCAAAAGCUUAUGGUUUAAGUCCACAACCUUCUG